GAGCGAACAGNAUUAGAUACCCUGGUAGUCCAUGCCGUAAACGUUGGGCACUAGGUGUGGGGGACAUUCCACGUUUUCCGCGCCGUAGCUAACGCAUUAAGUGCCCCGCCUGGGGAGUACGGCCGCAAGGCUAAAACUCAAAGGAAUUGACGGGGGCCCGCACAAGCGGCGGAGCAUGCGGAUUAAUUCGAUGCAACGCGAAGAACCUUACCCAAGGCUUGACAUGGGCCGGACCGGGCUGGAAACAGUCCUUCCCCUUUGGGGCCGGUUCACAGGUGGUGCAUGGUUGUCGUCAGCUCGUGUCGUGAGAUGUUGGGUUAAGUCCCGCAACGAGCGCAACCCUCGUUCCAUGUUGCCAGCGCGUAAUGGCGGGGACUCAUGGGAGACUGCCGGGGUCAACUCGGAGGAAGGUGGGGACGACGUCAAAUCAUCAUGCCCCUUAUGUCUUGGGCUUCACGCAUGCUACAAUGGCCGGUACAAAGGGUUGCGAUACUGUGAGGUGGAGCUAAUCCCAAAAAGCCGGUCUCAGUUCGGAUUGGGGUCUGCAACUCGACCCCAUGAAG
RNAcentral lists this ribosomal RNA (563 nucleotides) under Arthrobacter sp. RU-30b. RNAcentral's name for it is "bacterial SSU rRNA". It matches the Rfam family "Bacterial small subunit ribosomal RNA", at positions 766 to 1325 of the family's 1533-position model. Lineage: Bacteria; Bacillati; Actinomycetota; Actinomycetes; Micrococcales; Micrococcaceae. The record is from RNAcentral.